AUGGCCCACAACGAUGAGGCCGGCGGUUCGGGCGGCAAGCAAUUCUGGGAGCUGUCCCAGGAGAUGGAGGAAGAACCUCACCGCUAUGAGGAUGCCGCGGAAGACACCGAUCCUGACUACACAACCCCUAGUAGCGUCGGGGAUGACACCACUGAUGGUGCCGCCGAGGAUGCCACCACUGAUGAUGGCGGCGCACACACAGAUGGCAGCCAACCGAAGAGGCAACGGAACGACCGGCGCCCGAGCGUGCUCGGCACCAUCAAGGAGGAAUUUACUGAAGUGAACUCCGACAGGCAUCCAACGGUGCCCAAAGAAUUAGUCAAGGGGUACUUGGUUCAGCUCGGGUGCAUUCUCCGGAGCAUCGUCUCGAUCAACACCGAGAACCUAAGGCAUAAGGACCGAGGGAAUUUGCGCAGCCUCCUCUUCACGAAGCUGCACGAACGAUACAAGUUCCCCGCUGACUUUGCAAACACACGCCUCUCAGGGAAUAAAGCGAACAGUGCCGCCCUCAUGAAGAUGAGCACAACCCUGUCUACUUGGAGAAGCACGGUGAAGGCAAUGAUUGAAAAAGGUGAUAGUUAUGAGAAGAUCAAGGCGAAAUAUCCUUUGAUCAGCGAAGAUGACUACAAGGAGUUCAAGAUCAAGUGCGAGAGUAGCGCAACCUCCAAAUCAAGUCAGCGAGGGAAAGAAAUGCGGGAGUUGAACUUAGGGGUCCAUCAACUCGGUCCCGGCGUUUACAGAGUGGCGGAGCCUAUAUGGGACAAGGAGGACGCGGAGCGUGCCGAGCAAGGCCUACCGCCCCGCUUUGAGAAAUACCGUGACAAGCAGACCAGGAACUAUGUCAGGGCUCGGUACAAGGAGGACCCGGUAACAAAGGAGCUUACCACGGAUCCGAAGACCAUGGCGCUUGAGCUUGUUCUGGUUUCUUCCGCAGGACACUGA
RNAcentral lists this ribosomal RNA (942 nucleotides) under Triticum aestivum (bread wheat). RNAcentral describes it as "partial small subunit ribosomal RNA". Lineage: Eukaryota; Viridiplantae; Streptophyta; Magnoliopsida; Poales; Poaceae. The record is from RNAcentral.